Molecule: long non-coding RNA, 692 nt
Organism: Oryzias melastigma (Indian medaka)
Lineage: Eukaryota; Metazoa; Chordata; Actinopteri; Beloniformes; Adrianichthyidae
Exons: 3
Source: RefSeq, a predicted model, not a curated record
GUGUUUCUGAAAGCAGAAGGAAGGAAGUGGGUCUUACUGAAGGAACUGUUUCCAGCCAGCAAAGUGAACUUUAACCACACAUGAAUCAGUCAUUCUGCAGUUUAAAGCUGUGACUUUACUGAGACAGACCUACAAAAAAGAAUUUAAAGUUUAGUUUAUUUUAUUUAUCUUUUCCAAUGUGUUUUUCUCUUUAUAUUUUUCACUAACUUUAAAAAGAAAUAGAGUGGUAUUACUGUGAAAAGAUCAUCAAUUAAAAACAGAUCAAUGAGGACUGGAGCAUCAUAUUAAAACUCAGCACUGAAAAGUCAAAAUCAGAAAAGAGUCAUCCUCUGAACAUCAAUGAUCUAAACGAGAGCGAUGAGAAGAAAAAGUGAAGAAAAAGUCACGUGUUCAAAGCUGAAGAAGACAGCAGCCAUGUUCCUGACAGAAGCUGGAUGUCUGCUUUUCAUUCUUUACAUAUCAGGAGUUCAGGGACAAACAAACAGCAUCUGUGGAUUUAAAGGUUCAUCAGUGAAUCUGAGCUGCUCUGCUGGAGAUUCAGCAGCAGACAAAGAAUAUAAAUGGUUCACUGUGUUCAAGAAUGCCUCAGGGAGUGACUUUCAUGAGGUUUUUGUGGAUGCAAACCAAAAAAAGUACAGAAUAUCUGAAGGGAGUCGUCCCACUCUGACCAUCAAUGAUCUAAACAAGAACGA